CGGUCUUAGUUCAGUUGGUAGAACACUGGUCCCCAAAACCAGCAGUCGGGGGUUCGAGUCCUUCAGAUCGAG
RNAcentral lists this transfer RNA (72 nucleotides) under Aeriscardovia sp. RNAcentral describes it as "tRNA-Trp". It matches the Rfam family "tRNA". Rfam says of the family: Transfer RNA (tRNA) molecules are approximately 80 nucleotides in length. Lineage: Bacteria; Bacillati; Actinomycetota; Actinomycetes; Bifidobacteriales; Bifidobacteriaceae. The record is from RNAcentral.